UCAGCCUAUCAUCUGGCUUCUUACAUGACAGUGGGCUCAGCCUAUCAUCCGGCUUCUUACAUGACAGUGGGCUCAGCCUAUCAUCGGCCGAGGCGGGACAUCGCUGCGGCCAGUGAUAGGCUGAAGGCUCUGUGACGUUCCCAUCCCCAGGACCGCAGCAAGAACAGCUGAGAACAGUGAGGCCGGUUCCUUAGCAACGGGGGAACAGAGAACAAAGAUGUAAAGAAUGUAUGUACCUACCAUAUAGUGGAGAAGCAGCCUGUGUGUCGCUGAAGGACAUUGGGAUAGUAAAACAUAAUGACAGCAGGCUAUGCGUGGUAUCCAAGCCCUUUCUUCUAUAUACUCCAGAUGAUUUCCAGCAGGCUAUAUGUCCUAUCCAAGCCCUUUCUUCUAUAUACUCCAGAUGAUUUCCAGCAGGCUAUGUGUCCUAUCCAAUCCCUUUCUUCUAUAUUCUAUAUUUCACCUAUAGAUGUCACAAGUAACAGCUGUACUGAAAUCCUAAUAAAUGCCAAAGUAAAAUAAUGGAGGUUCUUUCACAUCACUGGAAACGUCUUCACUGCUGGUAAGAAAGAAAAGGAAAUAUCUAAAUAAAAAAAAUAAAAUGAAAAAAAAAAAAA
Hyla sarda is the source of this 617-nucleotide long non-coding RNA. RefSeq lists it as uncharacterized. NCBI's taxonomy places the organism in Eukaryota, Metazoa, Chordata, Amphibia, Anura, Hylidae. The transcript has 2 exons. The record is from RefSeq and is a predicted model, not a curated record.